This 253-nucleotide ribosomal RNA is filed under the name uncultured bacterium. RNAcentral's name for it is "partial 16S ribosomal RNA". It matches the Rfam family "Bacterial small subunit ribosomal RNA", at positions 524 to 776 of the family's 1533-position model. The record is from RNAcentral.
UACAGAGGUCUCAAGCGUUGUUCGGAUUCAUUGGGCGUAAAGGGUGCGUAGGUCGCGCCGUAAGUCAGGUGUGAAAUUUCGGAGCUUAACUCCGAAACUGCAUUCGAUACUGCCGUGCUUGAGGACUGGAGAGGAGACUGGAAUUUACGGUGUAGCGGUGAAAUGCGUAGAUAUCGUAAGGAAGACCAGUGGCGAAGGCGGGUCUCUGGACAGUUCCUGACGCUGAGGCACGAAGGCCAGGGGAGCAAACGGG